CUCCGCCACCCCUCACCCCCUCUGCUUCACUUUUCCAUUUUCUGCGCAGGGUGCAGUUAGUUAAAUUUCUCAUCUUGACCAUAAUACGUCUUUGGAAUUUUAACCUCGCCAACGUUGAAGCAGACAGCUGACAGUUAACUGAAAAUUGCGAAUUGCAAAUUUCUAUCGUAUUUUUCUCUUACACACUCUGCAUUUCCGUCGUCUAUCAACAACCAUGUUCAGAGGACUGGUACUGUGAAUAAUAUUCUGUUGUCAAACGCGGACGAAAACGUUUGAUUUACUGACCUUCGGUAUUGGGGUGUACACCGGAAUGUAUCUUUCUCAGAAUUAUGAUGUACCAAAAGUGGACGAACCAGAAAAAUUACUACAGAAAAUCAAAGACUUUGCUGAUAGACACCGGAAAGAUUAAAUAGUGGUUGAAUCAUGUA
Frankliniella occidentalis (western flower thrips) is the source of this 428-nucleotide long non-coding RNA. RefSeq lists it as uncharacterized. The record is from RefSeq and is a predicted model, not a curated record. NCBI's taxonomy places the organism in Eukaryota, Metazoa, Arthropoda, Insecta, Thysanoptera, Thripidae. The transcript is spliced from 3 exons.